UGAGCAACCUGCCCUUGACCCUGGAAUAACAGCUGGAAACAGCUGCUAAUACCGGAUAUGACCUCCGAUGGCAUCAUCUGGAGGUGGAAAGCUCCGACGGUCAAGGAUGGGCUCGCGGCCUAUCAGCUAGUUGGUGUGGGUAAUGGCCCACCAAGGCGACGACGGGUAGCCGGCCUGAGAGGGUGACCGGCCACACUGGGACUGAGACACGGCCCAGACCUCUACGGGA
This 229-nucleotide ribosomal RNA is filed under the name uncultured bacterium. RNAcentral describes it as "partial 16S ribosomal RNA". It matches the Rfam family "Bacterial small subunit ribosomal RNA", at positions 118 to 346 of the family's 1533-position model. The record is from RNAcentral.